This 271-nucleotide ribosomal RNA is filed under the name uncultured archaeon. RNAcentral describes it as "partial 16S ribosomal RNA". It matches the Rfam family "Archaeal small subunit ribosomal RNA", at positions 477 to 747 of the family's 1478-position model. The record is from RNAcentral.
CAGCGCCACGAGUGGGAAUCACGAUUAUUGGGCCUAAGGCGUCCGUAGCCGGUUUGAUAAAUUUUUAGUGAAAUCGUUUUGCUUAACAAAACGGCGUGCUAAAAAGACUGUCAAACUAGGAACCGGAAGGAGUCAGAGGUAUGCUGGGGGGAGCGGUAAAAUGCAAUAAUCCUCGGUAGACCACCUGUGGCGAAGGCGUCUGACUAGAACGGGUCCGACAGUGAGGGACGAAAGCCAGGGGAGCAAACCGGAUUAGAUACCCGAGUAGUCC